Molecule: ribosomal RNA, 536 nt
Filed under: Euphaea formosa
Lineage: Eukaryota; Metazoa; Arthropoda; Insecta; Odonata; Euphaeidae
Description: partial 12S ribosomal RNA
Source: RNAcentral
UACGUUAGGGGAGAAAGACUAUUUUUGGCUAGCAGUUAAUUUUAUUUUUUAUUUUUGUUUUAAUUUUUAGGUGAAAUUUAUAAUUAAUUUUAUUUUAUUCUUUUUGUUCUGUGAAACUUGGAGUUAAGACAAGGAUUAGAUACCCUUUUAUACCAUGUGUUAAUUUAUUAUGCUUGGGUAGUAUUUGUUAAGUUCUUGAAACCUAAAGGAUUUGGCGGUAUUUUAGUCCUUUCAGAGGAACCUGUCCCUUAAUCGACAUUCCACGAUUUUAUUUACUUAAUUUUGUAUUCAGUUUGUAUACCUCCGUCAUAAGAAUAUCUUUUUAGAGUUAAUUUUCUUUUUUAUUAAAUAUAUAUAUGUCAGGUCAAGGUGCAGCUUAUAGUUAAGUGGAGAUGGGUUACAUUAAAAUUAUUUAUACGGAUGUACAUUUUUAUUUUGUGCUUAAGGUGGAUUUGAAAGUAAAUUUAUUUAUUAGGUUUUUUGAUUUUGGCUCUGAAAUAUGCACACAUCGCCCGUCGCUCUCAUAAUAAGGUGAG